Molecule: non-coding RNA, 28 nt
Filed under: Homo sapiens (human)
Lineage: Eukaryota; Metazoa; Chordata; Mammalia; Primates; Hominidae
Source: RNAcentral
CCAUUUCUACCAUCUGAAUGUUGUGUUC